UACAGAGGUCUCAAGCGUUGCUCGGAUUCAUUGGGCGUAAAGGGUGCGUAGGUGGCAGAGUAAGUCGGGUGUGAAAUCCUGGGGCUCAACCCCGGAACUGCACUCGAUACUGCUUUGCUUGAGUACUGGAGAGGAGACUGGAAUUUACGGUGUAGCAGUGAAAUGCGUAGAUAUCGUAAGGAAGACCAGUGGCGAAGGUGAGUCUCUGGACAGUUACUGACACUGAGGCACGAAGGCCAGGGGAGCAAACGGG
This 253-nucleotide ribosomal RNA is filed under the name uncultured bacterium. RNAcentral describes it as "partial 16S ribosomal RNA". It matches the Rfam family "Bacterial small subunit ribosomal RNA", at positions 524 to 776 of the family's 1533-position model. The record is from RNAcentral.